RNAcentral lists this transfer RNA (78 nucleotides) under Actinomycetes bacterium. RNAcentral describes it as "Actinobacteria bacterium (groundwater metagenome) tRNA-Asp". It matches the Rfam family "tRNA". From Rfam's summary of the family: Transfer RNA (tRNA) molecules are approximately 80 nucleotides in length. Their secondary structure includes four short double-helical elements and three loops (D, anti-codon, and T loops). The record is from RNAcentral. RNAcentral also lists the same sequence under 2 other names. Lineage: Bacteria; Bacillati; Actinomycetota; Actinomycetes.
GGGGGCGUGGUGAAGCCUGGAGUUCACGUCGGCCUGUCAAGCCGAAGAUCGCGGGUUCAAAUCCCGUCGUCCCCGCCA